This is a long non-coding RNA of Gasterosteus aculeatus aculeatus (three-spined stickleback), 1316 nucleotides long. The record is from Ensembl. NCBI's taxonomy places the organism in Eukaryota, Metazoa, Chordata, Actinopteri, Perciformes, Gasterosteidae.
CUAUUAAGGCGUUUGCAGGCCGAGAGAAACCUGAAAACGCACAGAACACAAGAAUGCAUUGGUUAACAGUGUUUUCAUCAAACUAACACGUCAGGAAAGUACAUGUAUCUGUUUUAUGAUGGUAUCAUGAUUUGUGAAUAGUUUUCCAACCUUUUUUGUUCAAACUAAGUUUUGGUGCAAUCUUGACUAUUAAGGCGUUUGCAGGCCGAGAGAAAGCUGAAAACGCACAGAACACAAGAAUGCAUUGGUUAACAGUGUUUACCUAAAACUAGCACCUCAGGAAAGUACAUUCCUCCUUUUCAUGGUGGUAUCAUGGUUUGUGAAUAGUUUUCCAACCUUUUUUGUUCAAACUAAGUUUUUGUGCAUUCAUGACUAUUAAGGCGUUUGCAGGCCGAGAGAAAGCUGAAAACGCACAGAACACAAGAAUGCAUUGGUUAACAGUUGUUUUCAUCAAACUAGCACCUCAGGAAAGUACAUUCAUCCUUUUCAUGGUGGUAUCAUGGUUUGUGAAUAGUUUUCCAACUUUUUUUGUUCAAAAUAAGUUUUGGUGCAAUCUUGACUAUUAAGGCGUUUUCAGGCCGAGAGAAGGCUUAAAAACGCACAGAACACAAGAAUGCAUUGGUUAACAGUGUUUUCCUGAAUCUAGCACCUCAGGAAAGUAGAUGUAUCUGUUUUACGAUGGUAUCAUGGUUUGUGAAUAGUUUUCCAACCUUUUUCGUUCAAACUAGGUUUUGGUGCUUUCUUGACUAUUAAGGCGUUUGCAGGCCGAGAGAAGGCUUAAAAACGCACAGAACACAAGAAUCAUUGGUUAACAGUGUUUUCCUCAAAAUAGCACCUCAGGAAAGUACAUUUAUCUGUUUUAUGCUACCUCUUCUCGUCGGCAGCUGUCUUCAGGUCGUCAGCAAGUUUCAGGCCCCCAGCAGUCUUCUUCAGGCUUGUGCUUCUAUCACGAGAAGUUUGGACCGAAGGCUCUUAAAUGCCGCUCGCCAUGCAGUUUCGGCAGGCUGGGCGAAGGAUCUAAAUUUGCAAGGCCGCCACGCCACUUCCUUUAAAACAACCUUUACCAUAGAGCAUUAUUAUUGUCUGAAGGCAUUUCUGACAAAAUAUGAGAUGGAUCUGAUUAAGUGUGAGGAAGAGGAUGUGAAAGUGCACAACCUCUGACUUCUUGUUACCACUAGGUGGCGCUCUUAUCAUAAUUUUAAAGUGUCACAUUAAUGUCUUAAAAUAAAAUUCUGACACAUGAGAAAUUUGGAGCAGGCUAGACAAAGUACGGCUGAAAAACCUUUUGUUUCAUAGUAAAUGCUGUUUGCCAUUAC